AAAUUAGGGUUCUAUAAUAUAAUAUUACGCACCGCACAUCUUUUUCUUAAGAUUCAUUCAUAAAACAAUGUUUCAUUCAAGCAAAUUAAUUGGUUGAGCAAAAAAUUUGAUUCGUGCAAAUUAAUUAUAAGCCCUGGUACUGCAAAUAAAAUCGAUCGCAGCAUAUCCACAAAUUGGAGAAAAUAUCACCGACAUGAAAAUCGAUUUGCCAAAGAGAUUAACGAUAGCCAUGAUAUGCACAAAAGCAAGUAUUAGGUGAUCUUUCAAUUCAUCAAAAUUAGGGUUCUAAAUCAUAUAAUAGAAGCUCUGAUACCACAUGUAAUAAAUUAAUAAUUUAGAGAUCGAUAUAUUAUAUGAAAUUAGAACACACUUACUUGAUAAU
Molecule: long non-coding RNA, 382 nt
Filed under: Trifolium pratense (red clover)
Lineage: Eukaryota; Viridiplantae; Streptophyta; Magnoliopsida; Fabales; Fabaceae
Description: long non-coding RNA (TPRA_LNC013287)
Source: RNAcentral